Molecule: ribosomal RNA, 253 nt
Filed under: uncultured bacterium
Lineage: Bacteria
Description: partial 16S ribosomal RNA
Rfam family: Bacterial small subunit ribosomal RNA
Source: RNAcentral
UACGAAGGGGGCUAGCGUUGCUCGGAAUCACUGGGCGUAAAGCGCACGUAGGCGGCCCCUUUUGUCGCGUGUGAAAGCCCCGGGCUCAACCUGGGAGGUGCGCGCGAAACGGGGGGGCUUGAGUUCGGGAGAGGAGCGUGGAAUUCCCAGUGUAGAGGUGAAAUUCGUAGAUAUUGGGAAGAACACCGGUGGCGAAGGCGGCGACCUGGUCCGUGACUGACGCUGAGGCGCGAAAGCGUGGGGAGCGAACAGG